This 120-nucleotide small nucleolar RNA is filed under the name Meriones unguiculatus (Mongolian gerbil). RNAcentral describes it as "Small nucleolar RNA SNORA17 (ENSMUGG00000013036.1)". It matches the Rfam family "Small nucleolar RNA SNORA17". From Rfam's summary of the family: snoRNA ACA 17 belongs to the H/ACA family of snoRNAs and is predicted to guide pseudouridylation of the 28S rRNA at positions U4659 and U4598. The record is from RNAcentral. Lineage: Eukaryota; Metazoa; Chordata; Mammalia; Rodentia; Muridae.
GCUGCCCCAACAGGCAUUGCAGGUGUGGCUGGUGUGUCACAGGUGAUAGAGAGGAAAGAGGCUAUGUCCACACUCAGUGUUCUCACCUGUGAACAUUUGAAUGCAUAGUGGCCUAACAUU